This 472-nucleotide unclassified non-coding RNA is filed under the name Melitaea cinxia (Glanville fritillary). RNAcentral describes it as "misc RNA ENSMCXG00005006888.1". Lineage: Eukaryota; Metazoa; Arthropoda; Insecta; Lepidoptera; Nymphalidae. The record is from RNAcentral.
ACCCCAAGCAUAGCCCGUUCCAUUGCACCUUGUGGACCAGUUAUAUCUAUAUAUAUAAUGUAUGUUCGGGGACAACUUCGUCGUUUAUGAACCGAUUUGGAUAAUUCUUUUUUUGUUGGAAAGGAGAUAUCCCAAGUGAUCUGAUGGUGGAAUCCCAGAGAAAUCUAACGAAACCCCCGAAAAUCAUAGUGACGACUAAUGCGUUUGUUAAUUUGUUUCGCCUAUUUACGUUGCAUUACUUGUCGAUGUAAUUGAAGCCGGUUUUUUUCGUUUGCGAGCACACAGAAUUAUACUAUAAGUUUUGAUUUUUUCUCCUGUAAAUUAUUUCUUGCUUCUCUACACUAAGUAGCUUAAGAACUACUUACUGUAUGUUAUGGAAAUAGUUUUUAUAUUUGGUCAGCAUAUUAAUAUAAAAAAAAUUACAAGUAAUAAAGCUUAUGGUUAUUUGUGUUAACGUACCAAAAUAAGAAAA